This 345-nucleotide unclassified non-coding RNA is filed under the name soil metagenome. Its description in RNAcentral is "partial contains 5.8S ribosomal RNA, internal transcribed spacer 2, and large subunit ribosomal RNA". The stretch from base 1 to 120 matches the Rfam family "5.8S ribosomal RNA", at positions 35 to 154 of the family's 154-position model. The record is from RNAcentral.
GAUGAAGAACGCAGCAAAAUGCGAUAAGUAAUGUGAAUUGCAGAAUUCAGUGAAUCAUCGAAUCUUUGAACGCACAUUGCGCCCGCCAGUAUUCUGGCGGGCAUGCCUGUUCGAGCGUCAUUUCAACCCUCAAGCCCUCGGGUUUGGUGUUGGGGAUCGGCGAGCCUUUCUGGCAAGCCGGCCCCGAAAUCUAGUGGCGGUCUCGCUGCAGCCUCCAUUGCGUAGUAGUAAAACCCUCGCAACUGGAACGCGGCGCGGCCAAGCCGUUAAACCCCCAACUUCUGAAUGUUGACCUCGGAUCAGGUAGGAAUACCCGCUGAACUUAAGCAUAUCAAUAAGCGAGGA